This 505-nucleotide ribosomal RNA is filed under the name Listeria seeligeri. RNAcentral describes it as "bacterial SSU rRNA". It matches the Rfam family "Bacterial small subunit ribosomal RNA", at positions 1030 to 1533 of the family's 1533-position model. The record is from RNAcentral. Lineage: Bacteria; Bacillati; Bacillota; Bacilli; Caryophanales; Listeriaceae.
AGUGACAGGUGGUGCAUGGUUGUCGUCAGCUCGUGUCGUGAGAUGUUGGGUUAAGUCCCGCAACGAGCGCAACCCUUGAUUUUAGUUGCCAGCAUUUAGUUGGGCACUCUAAAGUGACUGCCGGUGCAAGCCGGAGGAAGGUGGGGAUGACGUCAAAUCAUCAUGCCCCUUAUGACCUGGGCUACACACGUGCUACAAUGGAUGGUACAAAGGGUAGCGAAGCCGCGAGGUGGAGCCAAUCCCAUAAAACCAUUCUCAGUUCGGAUUGUAGGCUGCAACUCGCCUACAUGAAGCCGGAAUCGCUAGUAAUCGUGGAUCAGCAUGCCACGGUGAAUACGUUCCCGGGCCUUGUACACACCGCCCGUCACACCACGAGAGUUUGUAACACCCGAAGUCGGUAGGGUAACCUUUAUGGAGCCAGCCGCCGAAGGUGGGACAGAUAAUUGGGGUGAAGUCGUAACAAGGUAGCCGUAUCGGAAGGUGCGGCUGGAUCACCUCCUUUCUA